This is a long non-coding RNA of Erigeron canadensis, 699 nucleotides long. RefSeq lists it as uncharacterized. The transcript is spliced from 2 exons. Lineage: Eukaryota; Viridiplantae; Streptophyta; Magnoliopsida; Asterales; Asteraceae. The record is from RefSeq and is a predicted model, not a curated record.
UAAUAUCUAGCCCAUUAACACAAUUCAUCCUGUUUCUUAUACAUUCGUUUUUUUUUUCCAAUUUAGACAAUGGAUUUGAGUUUAACAGAUAAGUCUAACAUUGAUGAAGUAUACAAUGCGAUUAUAUUGAGUCCUCUGAGUGAAAUUCUGCCCAGCGAUCAUUAUGAAGAUUACAGAAAAAAAGUUGUCGAAGCUUCCAAUACCAGAUCCGAGAAAGGAAAAAGAUGAGACGUUCAAGAGAUUGCUUGAUGUAACAGUUCAUGAAAAAGUAAAUGUUGAUCCACCAAGUGGUAUUAACAGCAAAGGUUCAGGUACACAUAUUGGGAAAAGGUUAAAGAAUCCUCGUGAGGCGCCUGUUAACAAAUAAGACGUGUUGUACGACAAUGCAAAUGGUGUCUUAAAGUCCAAGAUGAGCAUGACCAACGCAAAUGUCCACAUAAACUUGCCAACCAACUUGCUAGAAAAAAAAAAGACAGCCACAAAGGCAAGAAAGGAAGCGAAGUCAAAAAAGGAUGUUUCGCAUUCACCUGAUACAAGUGCCUAGCAAAUAUUUACUUUUUUUACAUUUUCUUUUACUGUUAAGGGUUACCAUUACAUACAUUGUCAUGUAAGUUUUUUUCCGAAUUUUACUAGUCUAUUUGCUUUUACCAAUCCUGAGUAAACCCACAAAGUUUUUUAUUGGUUAUUAGCUAUGUGUUA